AAUUUAACUUGGAUAAAGAUGAGAGUCUCUGCUCUGGGGAGGAGAGUCACUGACCUUCAAUGGUUUGUUGCCUGAUAAAGAGGAUACUUGCUGGCUUGAGGAGACUAUAAUGUUUUGAGGAGGAAAUGUGGCUUGAUGACUUAAAGAGGAGGAGGAAUUAUUGGCCGACACUUUUAAUUACCAACGUAACCUCAGUGGAACUGUGGCUUCAUCGAGUUCCAGCUCUAGGCAGACAGCACAUCAGGAAGGCUGUAAGACAUCACAGAGACAGAUGCUUGGCUUUUUCUUGGUCUUGGAGAUUCGCUCUGAUGUUUCAAUCCCUUUUGGAGCUUCUAGAUGCUGGCUGUCUGGCCCCUCCUGUUGGUUCUCUGGCCCCUCCUGCUGGUUCUCUGAACUCCCCUCCUGGUUCUCUGCCCAUGCCUGUUGCCUCCUUGGCCCCUCCUGCUGGCCAUCUCCAGAUGCAACAGGCUCUUGGCUUACUUGUUGGCCUGUCGCCCACACCGGCAAUUCCUGACCUUGGUUGUAGUCGUGGCUGUGUUGGGUGGUUGGACACCGGGUGAUGUACUGGGUGCUGAACUUCUGGAUUUGCUCAUCAGCCUCCAGAUUAAUCUGCUCCAGCCUUCAGCAGCUCCUUCCUCUUCUCCCUCUCUCUCUCUGCCCGGGUCAUGGUGGAUGUUAGCCUCGUGUGUCCAGGGAUGGCUGGAAGGGGAGAAGAAGUAGAGUUUACAUUCAACUUAGUGGAUCUGGUAUCA
Molecule: long non-coding RNA, 752 nt
Organism: Oncorhynchus masou masou (cherry salmon)
Lineage: Eukaryota; Metazoa; Chordata; Actinopteri; Salmoniformes; Salmonidae
Exons: 3
Source: RefSeq, a predicted model, not a curated record